RNAcentral lists this unclassified non-coding RNA (330 nucleotides) under soil metagenome. RNAcentral's name for it is "partial contains 5.8S ribosomal RNA, internal transcribed spacer 2, and large subunit ribosomal RNA". The stretch from base 1 to 120 matches the Rfam family "5.8S ribosomal RNA", at positions 35 to 154 of the family's 154-position model. The record is from RNAcentral.
GAUGAAGAACGCAGUGAAAUGCGAUAAGUAAUGUGAAUUGCAGAAUUCAGUGAAUCAUCGAAUCUUUGAACGCACAUUGCGCCCCUUGGUAUUCCGAGGGGCAUGCCUGUUCGAGCGUCAUUAUAACCCCUCAAGCUCAGCUUGGUGUUGGGGCCUGCUGCACUGGCAGCCCUUAAAAUCAGUGGCGGCGCCAUCUGGCUCUAAGCGUAGUAAUUCUUCUCGCUAUGGAGUCCUGGUGGAUGCUUGCCAUCAACCCCCAAUUUUUCUAUGGUUGACCUCGGAUCAGGUAGGGAUACCCGCUGAACUUAAGCAUAUCAAUAAGCGGAGGAA